This 1500-nucleotide long non-coding RNA is filed under the name Parus major (Great Tit). Its description in RNAcentral is "lncRNA (ENSPMJG00000013726.1)". The record is from RNAcentral. Lineage: Eukaryota; Metazoa; Chordata; Aves; Passeriformes; Paridae.
GUAAAAUACCUCUCCUGUUCUUGUUCUCCCAGCCAAUACUCUGGUCUAUUUAUUUGUUAUCUAUUGACUUGACAGCUCCAGCCUCCUCCCAUACAGCUUCUUCACCAUCCUUUGUCCGUUUUUUGCAAGUAUUAAAGUGAAAUAUAUCACUCUUUUCUCCAAAAUUAACAUUAACUUGGUGUCCUCUAAAUUUUUCAUCACCAUCUUAAUCACAUUUAUGUAUAGUCAGAUUCUCCAUAAUAUUAAUUCAUGUAUAUCAUGUAUAUCAUGUAUAUCAAUUCUUUUCUUAAAUAUGCUCUGACUGUUCACCUGUUCUUCAUCUUAUAAAUGUUUUUGAAUCUUUUGUUCCUUUCAGACAAUUUUAUGCUGGUGAUUUUUUCCUUUAGUAUGAAAUAAUUUUCCACUUCCCAUCCACUAAAUAAAGCCUUUCUUCUCUUGCACACCUCUGCUGAAAAAUCAGAAAGACAGAUCUUUUCCUCAUUUGAAGGAUGACAGACUUCCUUGUCUUCUUUUAUCUACAAAUGGACAUCUUGGGUCAAUUUGGGCAAGUUUCUUAGGAUCAGUUCCAAAGAAGAUCACAGGCAAAAAAUUCUCUUAAGACCUGACAGAGAAUGAACCAUUGCAUUGCGAAUUACUUGGGUGUCAGCUUCAGAAACUCCAUCACAUAAUUCUUUGGGGUGGCAAGAUCUACAGUUCUUAAGAAGACAGAAUUAAAAUACUUUGCUGAAGACCAUCCUUUUUCUCUGGUGAGAUAUAUACAUAUUUCCUAAAGUCCUAGUUGGUAGGAUGCUGAAGCUCAAGAGAAAUCCUACUAUUGGAAAGGAGAGCAGAUUUUAUGAGAAGAAAGGCCAAAAAACAUACUGAAGAAUUGACUAUUCAUAGUGGAUUGACAUGGAAGAUUUUCUUUCCUGGAAUGAAGUGUAAUAGAGGGGAAGGUACUGAGAUUCUACAGAUUUCAGCUAAUGUAGUUUCAUUAUCUUACAUUCAUGAAUCUUAUUAGAAAUGGGAAAGAUUUGAGAAAGAGAUGUUUAUCUGCAAAAUGUAUCAAAUUUCCAAGAAGUCUUCUGGGAGUAAAAUGGAUUUUCAUUUUGAGACUGUACAUCCAGGAAGAGAGGAUCAAGAUUCCUGAUUUUAACUCACUAGAGGAAAGAGGUCACGAGCCAAGUGGAAGAAUAAGCCACACAACCACAAUGCUCAUCAGUGUGGAAAUCUGCUUUCAGAGUUAUGAAACAGAAUCCCCCAAUAAAGAAGUCGCUCUGGAGAAGUGUGUUUAGAAACCAUACUAAUGGGACCUUCGUCUAGCCCCCAACAUCCGGGAUUGCACUGCAGCAGUGAUCUCUAUAAGAAUUAUAAAUUUAUGUAAAACAUCAUUUAUGAAGUAACAAAGAGUAUAGAAUUACUUUAAGUAAGCACAAGGGAGGAGAAAUACAGGGGCUGUUUGUAAAAAAUUAGCUUAUACUGAGUAAUAAUGAGCAGAUUCAGUUCACUUUGAAUUGCAAC